UACUGCGCUAUAGUACAGACUAUCACUGCCCUUAACGAAAAUAACGGUCACAAAACUCAACCCUAACCUACAUCCCUUUAACCAAAAAAAUCGCACGAAAUAACGAUUCCUACCUCUGUAUGGCUUAUCAAUUUUUAGCGUAAGUAAAGGAGGCAAUACUACAGGUUCUCAUUGUAUUGUAAACAAUGGAAAUUGCUUCCAUCUGCGGGUUUCAAAGGGUAAAGUCGAGAACGGUUAUUACAUAGUACUGAAACACUACAUAAUAAAACGUAUUAUGCCAUAAAUUAUAACGAACGGUUCGUUUUUUUUGAAAUUAGAGUUGCCCCUACGAGUAAAUGUAUGUCAUUCAGUCUCCCAGCAAUGCCAUGCCCUCGUACGCAGCAGACGAAAGGCUACAGACAAGAACAUGGGUAAUCCCUUGCACUCAAAUUGAUUAGUAAUG
Non-coding RNA from Schizosaccharomyces pombe (fission yeast), 442 nucleotides. The record is from the annotation of a GenBank genome assembly. Lineage: Eukaryota; Fungi; Ascomycota; Schizosaccharomycetes; Schizosaccharomycetales; Schizosaccharomycetaceae.